Molecule: long non-coding RNA, 968 nt
Organism: Planococcus citri (citrus mealybug)
Lineage: Eukaryota; Metazoa; Arthropoda; Insecta; Hemiptera; Pseudococcidae
Exons: 3
Source: RefSeq, a predicted model, not a curated record
UCAACAAGCAAAGAGGAAAUCAAUUUUGCUGAACUUUUAUGUGCUUAGAAAUGAAAAACAUGUAGCGAAAACUUAUUAAAAUACGUGUAAAGAUUAUUCGAGUAGAUUUAGAAUAGUGAAUUACUGAGUGUUAACCCGAUGGUGAUGAUAAAAGAAGAGAAAGAUGCACGAACUUCCUCCAGAAACAGCAAAGGCUGAGGAAACUGCUGUCACCACAAAUUGAUAUCUCUCCAAGGGGUUUUAAAAGAUAUGAUUCAAUCGACUGCUAAAGACGGACUCCACGAUAUGACCGAGAAAAUGAAAACUGAUAUUCAGUCCAUCAAAACAGAUCUGCAGCUGAUGAGAAAUAGUAUUCAAUUGGUGAAAAAAGAUUUUCAGCUGGUCAAGAACGAUAUUCAGGUAGUGAAAAGUGAUUUUCAGUUAGCCAAGAAUGAAAUAUUACUGGCGAAAAAUCGCGUCUCCGGACUUCGUAAUGAAUUGAAAGCGAACAAGAACGAAUUACCAACUUCCACAGACGAUGCGAGGUACAGACGUUCGGCAGCUUCAUCAAAAUCUGCAUCUACUUCAUUAUGGUCACCUACAGCAUCAACAUCAUCUAGUUUAUUCAAUUAUGGAAACAAUUUUCAGAAUGGUGUACCGUAAAGGCUAAAAUGCCUUUACUUGAUGCAUAUCUAAAAUUAUUUUCAUUCCUUUUAUUCGUAACUAGUAUUUUUUUCGUGUGAAUUUCAUUUUGUCUGGUAGAGACUUUUCUUUUUAGAAUUUGCUUUGCUAUUUUCUGCGUGUUUCUUGUUAGUUACCUACCUUUUAGCUGAUUUUCGUUUCCUAAAAGUAUGAAACAAAAUGUUACUAUUAUAGUUAUAAUACUCACUCUGAAUUUUAAAUUAUAUUUUUACUGUCGAAGCGACAGAUAUAUUUUCUGUUCUUUUUUGUUUAUGUGCGAAACGUAAAUAUACUUAUUUGUUCAUUGA